Molecule: long non-coding RNA, 1134 nt
Organism: Aethalodelphis obliquidens (Pacific white-sided dolphin)
Lineage: Eukaryota; Metazoa; Chordata; Mammalia; Artiodactyla; Delphinidae
Exons: 4
Source: RefSeq, a predicted model, not a curated record
GUGAGUCAGUUCUGGAGCAAUCAGUCAAUUCUUGGUGCCCUGAUAUGAUCAAAUUUAUGAACCUGCAAAGCUGAGGACUGCCUGCUGAGCUACAGUACUCACACUGUAAAACAGACAAAGCACCCACUCCACGGCAGCCCCGGCAGUGACCUCUGCACCCUGCUUCUCUGGCCACCCCGACAAAGAAUAUUUGGUCUUAACCUUUCUUGGCGGGGUUCUACUGACACUGCUGCUGAUGGCCCUUAUCUUCCUCAUCAUAAAGAGCUACAGAAAAUGUAAGUCUCCAAGAGCUGCGACAGCCCUUCUUUUUCUGUCUCCGAGAAUAGAGUUAGCUUUAAGGGGGAGUAAAAUUUGCAUAGCCCACCCUCUCUACGGACCGAGGACUCAAAUCCCUUUACUUCUCUCCUGGCCACUCCAACCCUCCACCCCGCCCACUUCCAACACCUCCCCACCACCCCAUCCCUUCACCCAAGAUUGAAGAAAGCAGCUUCCAAUUCCUCCAGGCCCCAUUGGUGAGACUUGUCCCUCUUCUUCCUGGCACUUGUGGCAGGUCACUCCAGUCCCCGGGCCCUGGAUCCCCUCUCAGUUCCUCCAGCCGAGUUUUCACCCCCAGAGGAAGCACUUACCUAUGCCAGCAUGACUUUCAAAAUCUCGAAAGAAAAGAGCAAUCACCUGACCGUGAACCAUUCUGCAGACUCGGACUCGUUGUCUACGCUCAAAUUAAAGUGACAAACUCACCUUGCCUUUCCAGUGAGGCGUGAGUCCCAUUCCUCUCAUCUCAGCUCCAUUGUCUUCAUACAUCACUUUCCCUUUUAACAAAUUUUGGACUACGACCUGGGUGAAACCACAGUCGGAAUUGUCUGGGUGUGAUUAGGCAAUGCUGGCCAACAGUUUUGAAGACCAAGGGUCAGUCUUUUUCCUGGCCUGAGAAAAGAUUGCUGGCCCUCCCACUUGGAUGGACAGCGAGUUAGCCCCUUGAGGGCUGAGACGGCCUUCCUUGUCCCCUUCCAAGUGUGUGGUACAGAGCUCAGGGCACAAAGAGUAUUCCCUCAGCAUCAUUGAUCAACUUGGGACAAGUCAACCAAAUGAACAAUCUAGAGAGGAUUACAAAUAAAAGCAAACUCUCUGCAAUGC